Molecule: transfer RNA, 83 nt
Filed under: Mycobacterium sp. ST-F2
Lineage: Bacteria; Bacillati; Actinomycetota; Actinomycetes; Mycobacteriales; Mycobacteriaceae
Description: tRNA-Leu
Rfam family: tRNA
About the family: Transfer RNA (tRNA) molecules are approximately 80 nucleotides in length. Their secondary structure includes four short double-helical elements and three loops (D, anti-codon, and T loops).
Source: RNAcentral
GCGCGAGUGUCGGAAUUGGCAGACGAGAUGGGUUUAGGUCCCAUUGUCCUUUGGGCGUGGGGGUUCGAGUCCCCCCUCGCGCA